Molecule: ribosomal RNA, 253 nt
Filed under: uncultured bacterium
Lineage: Bacteria
Description: partial 16S ribosomal RNA
Rfam family: Bacterial small subunit ribosomal RNA
Source: RNAcentral
UACGUAGGGCGCAAGCGUUGUCCGGAAUUAUUGGGCGUAAAGAGCUCGUAGGCGGCCUGUUACGUCUGGUGUGAAAUCCCGGGGCUUAACCCCGGGCGUGCAGUGGAUACGGGCAGGCUGGAGGCCGGCAGGGGAGAACGGAAUUCCCGGUGUAGCGGUGAAAUGCGCAGAUAUCGGGAGGAACACCGGUGGCGAAGGCGGUUCUCUGGGCCGUACCUGACGCUGAGGAGCGAAAGCGUGGGGAGCGAACAGG